GACGAACGCUGGCGGCGUGCUUAACACAUGCAAGUCGAGCGGUAAGGCUCCUUCGGGAGUACACGAGCGGCGAACGGGUGAGUAACACGUGAGCAAUCUGCCCUUCACUUCGGGAUAACUCCGGGAAACCGGUGCUAAUACCGAAUACGACCACUUCAGGCAUCUGAUGGUGGUGGAAAGUUCCGGCGGUGAAGGAUGAGCUCGCGGCCUAUCAGCUUGUUGGUGAGGUAAGGCCCACCAAGGCAACGACGGGUAGCCGGCCUGAGAGGGUGACCGGCCACACUGGGACUGAGACACGGCCCAGACUCCUACGGGAGGCAGCAGUGGGGAAUAUUGGACAAUGGGCGAAAGCCUGAUCCAGCAACGCCGCGUGAGGGAUGACGGCCU
Molecule: ribosomal RNA, 387 nt
Filed under: uncultured bacterium
Lineage: Bacteria
Description: bacterial SSU rRNA
Rfam family: Bacterial small subunit ribosomal RNA
Source: RNAcentral